UUGAACGCUGGCGGCAUGCCUUACGCAUGCAAGUCGAACGGCAGCACGGGAGCAAUCCUGGUGGCGAGUGGCGAACGGGUGAGUAAUAUAUCGGAACGUGCCCAGUCGUGGGGGAUAACGUAGCGAAGGCUACGCUAAUACCGCAUACGAUCUAUGGAUGAAAGCGGGGGAUCGCAAGACCUCGCGCGAUUGGAGCGGCCGAUAUCAGAUUAGGUAGUUGGUGAGGUAAAGGCUCACCAAGCCGACGAUCUGUAGCUGGUCUGAGAGGACGACCAGCCACACUGGGACUGAGACACGGCCCAGACUCCUACGGGAGGCAGCAGUGGGGAAUUUUGGACAAUGGGCGCAAGCCUGAUCCAGCAAUGCCGCGUGCAGGAUGAAGGCCUUCGGGUUGUAAACUGCUUUUGUACGGAACGAAACGGUGAGCUCUAAUACAGUUUGCUAAUGACGGUACCGUAAGAAUAAGCACCGGCUAACUACGUG
Molecule: ribosomal RNA, 483 nt
Filed under: uncultured bacterium
Lineage: Bacteria
Description: bacterial SSU rRNA
Rfam family: Bacterial small subunit ribosomal RNA
Source: RNAcentral